AACGCACAUUGCGCCCAUUAGUAUUCUAGUGGGCAUGCCUGUUCGAGCGUCAUUUCAACCCUCAAGCUGUUUAUGCUUGGUGUUGGGGUUCUACUAUUUUGGUAGACCCUGAAAGACAUUGGCGGGCUUGCUUUAAACCCGAGCGUAGUAAAUUAUUUCGUUUAGGGACUUAUAGCGAGUUUGUAGCCGUGAAAUCAAGUAAACUCUUUCGAGUUCUUAUUUAUUAGUUGACCUCGGAUCAGGUAGGAAUACCCGCUGAACUUAA
This 265-nucleotide unclassified non-coding RNA is filed under the name uncultured fungus. RNAcentral describes it as "partial contains 5.8S ribosomal RNA, internal transcribed spacer 2, and large subunit ribosomal RNA". Lineage: Eukaryota; Fungi. The record is from RNAcentral.